AGAGUUUUAUCCUGGCUCAGGAUGAACGCUGGCGGCGUGCUUAACACAUGCAAGUCGAACGAAGCAGUUAAGGAAUGAGUUUUCGGACAAAUGAGAUAACAGCUUAGUGGCGGACGGGUGAGUAACGCGUGGGUAACCUGCCUCACACAGGGGGACAACAGUCGGAAACGACUGCUAAUACCGCAUAAAAUGGCAGUUUCGCAUGAAACAACCAUCAAAGAAUAUCGGUGUGAGAUGGACCCGCGUCUGAUUAGCUGGUUGGUGCGGUAACGGCGUACCAAGGCGACGAUCAGUAGCCGGCCUGAGAGGGUGACCGGCCACAUUGGGACUGAGACACGGCCCAAACUCCUACGGGAGGCAGCAGUGGGGAAUGUUGCACAAUGGGCGCAAGCCUGAUGCAGCGACGCCGCGUGAAGGAAGAAGUAUUUCGUUAUGUAAACUUCUAUCAGCAGGGAAGAAAAUGACGGUACCUGACUAAGAAGCCCCGGCUAACUACGUGCCAGCAGCCGCGGUAAUACGUAGGGGGCAAGCGUUAUCCGGAUUUACUGGGUGUAAAGGGAGCGUAGAUGGUACUGCAAGUCCGGAGUGAAAACCCGGGGCUCAACCCCGGGACUGCUUUGGAAACUGUGGGACUAGAGUGCAGGAGAGGUAAGCGGAAUUCCUAGUGUAGCGGUGAAAUGCGUAGAUAUUAGGAGGAACACCAGUGGCGAAGGCGGCUUACUGGACUGUAACUGACAUUGAGGCUCGAAAGCGUGGGGAGCAAACAGAAUUAGAUACCCUGGUAGUCCACGCCGUAAACGAUGAAUAAUAGGUGUCGGGGAGCAUAAGCUCUUCGGUGCCGUCGCACACGCAUUAAGCAUUCCUUCUGGGGAGUACUUUCGCAAGAAGGAAUCUCGAAUGAGUUGGCGGGGGCCCGCACAAGCGGUGGAGCACGUGGUCUAAUUCGAUGCUACGCGAAGUACAUUGCCAUCCCUUGACAUCCAGCGAUUCUCCAAGAGAUGGAGGAGUGCCGUCGGGAUCUUUCACACAGCAGAUGCAUGGCCGUCGUCACCUCGUGUUGGGGAAUGUUCGGUUAAGUCCCGCAAAGAGCGCAACCCUUAUCCUCAUUCGCCAGCGGGUUAGGCCGGGAACUCGACGGACACCCCCGGUGAUAAACCGGAGGAAGGUGGGGAAGACGUCAAGUCAUCAUGCCCCUUACGGGAUGGGCUACACACGUGCUACAAUGGCAAAUACAAAGGGCAGCUAACCAGCGAUGGUAUGCGAAUCUCCUAAAGUUUGUUGUAGUCCGGAUCGGAGUUUGCAACUCGACUCCGAGAAGUUGGAAUCGCUAGUAAUCGUGGAUCAGAAUGCCACGGUGAACACGAAACCGGCCCUUGCACACACCGCCCGUCA
This 1392-nucleotide ribosomal RNA is filed under the name uncultured bacterium. Its description in RNAcentral is "partial 16S ribosomal RNA". It matches the Rfam family "Bacterial small subunit ribosomal RNA". The record is from RNAcentral.